This 472-nucleotide ribosomal RNA is filed under the name uncultured organism. Its description in RNAcentral is "partial 16S ribosomal RNA". It matches the Rfam family "Bacterial small subunit ribosomal RNA", at positions 333 to 797 of the family's 1533-position model. The record is from RNAcentral.
ACACUCCUACGGGAGGCAGCAGUGGGGAAUUUUGGACAAUGGGCGAAAGCCUGAUCCAGCAAUGCCGCGUGAGUGAAGAAGACCUUCGGGUUGUAAAGCUCUUUUGUCAGGGAAGAAACGGUGAAAGCUAAUAUCUUUUGCUAAUGACGGUACCUGAAGAAUAAGCACCGGCUAACUACGUGCCAGCAGCCGCGGUAAUACGUAGGGUGCAAGCGUUAAUCGGAAUUACUGGGCGUAAAGCGUGCGCAGGCGGUUUUGUAAGUCUGAUGUGAAAUCCCCGGGCUCAACCUGGGAAUUGCAUUGGAGACUGCAAGGCUAGAAUCUGGCAGAGGGGGGUAGAAUUCCACGUGUAGCAGUGAAAUGCGUAGAUAUGUGGAGGAACACCGAUGGCGAAGGCAGCCCCCUGGGUCAAGAUUGACGCUCAUGCACGAAAGCGUGGGGAGCAAACAGGAUUAGAAACCCGGGUAGUCCC